This 753-nucleotide ribosomal RNA is filed under the name uncultured Arcobacter sp. RNAcentral's name for it is "bacterial SSU rRNA". It matches the Rfam family "Bacterial small subunit ribosomal RNA", at positions 97 to 870 of the family's 1533-position model. Lineage: Bacteria; Pseudomonadati; Campylobacterota; Epsilonproteobacteria; Campylobacterales; Arcobacteraceae. The record is from RNAcentral.
GGCGGACGGGUGAGUAAUAUAUAGGUAAUGUGCCCUAGAGAGGGGGAUAACAGUUGGAAACGACUGCUAACACCCCAUAUGCCUUUAAGACAAAAGUCUGCAAGGGAAAUAUUUAUAGCUCUAGGAUCGGCCUGUACGGUAUCAGCUAGUUGGUGAGGUAAUGGCUCACCAAGGCAAUGACGCCUAACUGGUUUGAGAGGAUGAUCAGUCACACUGGAACUGAGACACGGUCCAGACUCCUACGGGAGGCAGCAGUGGGGAAUAUUGCACAAUGGGGGAAACCCUGAUGCAGCAACGCCGCGUGGAGGAUGACACAUUUCGGUGCGUAAACUCCUUUUAUAUAGGAAGAUAAUGACGGUACUAUAUGAAUAAGCGCCGGCUAACUCCGUGCCAGCAGCCGCGGUAAUACGGAGGGCGCAAGCGUUACUCGGAAUCACUGGGCGUAAAGAGCGUGUAGGCGGGUUAAUAAGUUUGAAGUGAAAUCCUAUGGCUCAACCAUAGAACUGCUUUGAAAACUGUUAACCUAGAAUAUGGGAGAGGUAGAUGGAAUUUCUGGUGUAGGGGUAAAAUCCGUAGAGAUCAGAAGGAAUACCGAUUGCGAAGGCGAUCUACUGGAACAUUAUUGACGCUGAGACGCGAAAGCGUGGGGAGCAAACAGGAUUAGAUACCCUGGUAGUCCACGCCCUAAACGAUGUACACUAGUUGUUGUGAGGCUAGACCUUGCAGUAAUGCAGUAAACACAUUAAGUGUACC